This is a long non-coding RNA of Cyprinus carpio carpio, 469 nucleotides long. Lineage: Eukaryota; Metazoa; Chordata; Actinopteri; Cypriniformes; Cyprinidae. The record is from Ensembl.
AAGAAUAUGGAGCACGUACUCAAGGAGGAAAAAACAUUUUUUUCAGAGGCCCAAAGUGAUAUGCAAUUUGGUCUAGAUGCCGAUAUUUAUAUGGCCAAAACGCACAGAGCCACAGCAUGGAAAAAGAUUUUAACAGUGGAAUCACGACUGCGGACGGCCACCCAUGUCUUACUUCACGCCCUUUGGCCCUGAUCCUGCGAGAUGAGUUUUCCUCACUUGUAAUGGCAGACAGUGAAAUGCAGCAUAGUUUCGGGUGAAACAGUUUCUUCUCACUGAUCCCGGUCUGCAGUGUAUCCUACAAACUGUAUAUUAGAGGCAAGGACAAGGAAAGUAUAUUAUGCUCGUUACUCAGGCCAUUUCCACUAUUUUUUAGUACAUACGAGUUGUCUUGAGCAUUUAUUACUCUGUUAAGAACAGUUAACUUUGUGUGCAUGAUGCAGUACAGCAAUAAAGAGAAUAUGUUAAAAGU